GGCUGGUCCGAAGGUAGUGAGUUAUCUCAAUUAAUUCUUCACAGUCAGUUACAGAUCGAAUACCUUGUUCUACUCUUUCCCCCCUUCUCACUACUGCACUCGACUAGUCUUUA
This 113-nucleotide Y RNA is filed under the name Saimiri boliviensis boliviensis (Bolivian squirrel monkey). RNAcentral's name for it is "Y RNA (ENSSBOG00000005489.1)". It matches the Rfam family "Y RNA". Rfam says of the family: Y RNAs are components of the Ro ribonucleoprotein particle (Ro RNP), in association with Ro60 and La proteins. Lineage: Eukaryota; Metazoa; Chordata; Mammalia; Primates; Cebidae. The record is from Rfam by way of RNAcentral.